Molecule: ribosomal RNA, 541 nt
Filed under: uncultured bacterium
Lineage: Bacteria
Description: bacterial SSU rRNA
Rfam family: Bacterial small subunit ribosomal RNA
Source: RNAcentral
AAUAGAUACCCCGGUAGUCCACGCCGUAAACAAUGGACACUUGGUGUUGGAGGUAUUGACCCCUUCAGUGCCGUAGCUAACGCGUUAAGUGUCCCGCCUGGGGAGUACGGUCGCAAGAUUAAAACUCAAAGAAAUUGACGGGGGCCCGCACAAGCGGUGGAGCACGUGGUUUAAUUCGAUGCAACGCGAAAAACCUUACCUGGGUUUGAAUUGCAGUGGAAGACAGUAGAGAUAUUGUCGCCCUUCGGGGCCGCUGUGAAGGUGCUGCAUGGCUGUCGUCAGCUCGCGUCGUGAGAUGUUGGGUUAAGUCCCGCAACGAGCGCAACCCUUACCUUUAGUUGCCAGCAUUCAGUUGGGCACUCUAAAGGGACUGCCGACGUUAAGUCGGAGGAAGGUGGGGAUGACGUCAAGUCCUCAUGGCCCUUAUGUCCAGGGCUACACACGUGCUACAAUGGAUAUUACAGAGGGUUGCUAAUCCGUAAGGUAGAGCUAAUCCCACAAAAUAUUCUAAGUUCGGAUUGAGGUCUGCAACUCGACCUCA